AUACGGAGGGUGCAAGCGUUGUUGGGAAUCACUGGGCGUAAAGGGCGCGCAGGCGGUUUUACAAGUCAGAUGUGAAAGCCCACGGCUUAACCGUGGAAGUGCAUUUGAAACUGUAAGACUUGAGUAUCAGAGGGGAAGGUGGAAUUCCCGGUGUAGAGGUGAAAUUCGUAGAUAUCGGGAGGAAUACCGGUGGCGAAGGCGACUUUCUGGCUGAAUACUGACGCUGAGGCGCGAAAGCGUGGGGAGCAAACAGGAUUAGAUACCCGCGUAGUCC
Molecule: ribosomal RNA, 274 nt
Filed under: uncultured bacterium
Lineage: Bacteria
Description: partial 16S ribosomal RNA
Rfam family: Bacterial small subunit ribosomal RNA
Source: RNAcentral